GAGGAAUAUUGGUCAAUGGACGAGAGUCUGAACCAGCCAAGUAGCGUGAAGGAUGACUGCCCUAUGGGUUGUAAACUUCUUUUAUACGGGAAUAAAGUUAGCCACGUGUGGCUUUUUGUAUGUACCGUAUGAAUAAGGAUCGGCUAACUCCGUGCCAGCAGCCGCGGUAAUACGGAGGAUCCGAGCGUUAUCCGGAUUUAUUGGGUUUAAAGGGAGCGUAGGCGGGUUGUUAAGUCAGUUGUGAAAGUUUGCGGCUCAACCGUAAAAUUGCAGUUGAUACUGGCGACCUUGAGUGCAACAGAGGUAGGCGGAAUUCGUGGUGUAGCGGUGAAAUGCUUAGAUAUCACGAAGAACUCCGAUUGCGAAGGCAGCUUACUGGAUUGUAACUGACGCUGAUGCUCGAAAGUGUGGGUAUCAAACAGGAUUAGAUACCCUGGUAGUCCACACGGUAAACGAUGAAUACUCGCUGUUUGCGAUAUACAGCAAGCGGCCAAGCGAAAGCGUUAAGUAUUCCACCUGGGGAGUACGCCGGCAACGGUGAAACUCAAAGGAAUUGACGGGGGCCCGCACAAGCGGAGGAACAUGUGGUUUAAUUCGAUGAUACGCGAGGAACCUUACCCGGGCUUAAAUUGCAGAUGAAUUACGGUGAAAGCCGUAAGCCGCAAGGCAUCUGUGAAGGUGCUGCAUGGUUGUCGUCAGCUCGUGCCGUGAGGUGUCGGCUUAAGUGCCAUAACGAGCGCAACCCUUGUUGUCAGUUACUAACAGGUUCCGCUGAGGACUCUGACAAGACUGCCAUCGUAAGAUGUGAGGAAGGUGGGGAUGACGUCAAAUCAGCACGGCCCUUACGUCCGGGGCUACACACGUGUUACAAUGGGGGGUACAGAGGGCCGCUACCACGCGAGUGGAUGCCAAUCCCAAAAACCUCUCUCAGUUCGGACUGGAGUCUGCAACCCGACUCCACGAAGCUGGAUUCGCUAGUAAUCGCGCAUCAGCCACGGCGCGGUGAAUACGUUCCCG
Molecule: ribosomal RNA, 1017 nt
Filed under: uncultured organism
Description: bacterial SSU rRNA
Rfam family: Bacterial small subunit ribosomal RNA
Source: RNAcentral